RNAcentral lists this long non-coding RNA (319 nucleotides) under Gossypium barbadense (sea-island cotton). RNAcentral describes it as "long non-coding RNA (GBAR_LNC000079)". Lineage: Eukaryota; Viridiplantae; Streptophyta; Magnoliopsida; Malvales; Malvaceae. The record is from RNAcentral.
UUUCUCUUGAAUGGUUUAGUAGUCUGUACUUCCUCCGUAACAUGUACUUUGGCAUUUUCAGAAUUUAGGUUCUGAUCUUGUUUUCGAUACUCUUCUUCAAUACGAAGAUGAUUUGCCAAAGCCUUAAGAGAUAUUUCCUCUUUCUUAUGUUUUAGACUUCUUUUAAAGUCUUUCCAAGAUGGAGGAAGUUUGUCUAUUAUGGAGGAUACCACAAUCAUUUCAUCCAUUUUCAUAUCAUAUUGCUUAAAUUGAUUCAGCAUCUUUUCAAUAUCACGAAAUUGUUCCAUAACAGAACGACCAUCAACCAUUUGAUAAUUAU